GUCAACCUUCAUAUCACUUUGAACUCACCAGUUCCCUUCCAAUCACUGUAGCAUGUAGCAACGUCGAGCGUGGUUAGUACUUGGAUGGGUGACCCUUUACGUUCUGUUGACAGGUCUACU
This 120-nucleotide ribosomal RNA is filed under the name Diaphorina citri (Asian citrus psyllid). The record is from RNAcentral. Lineage: Eukaryota; Metazoa; Arthropoda; Insecta; Hemiptera; Psyllidae.